GGAGAGAUGCCGGAGCGGUCGAACGGAGUUGCCUGCUAAGCAAUUGACCUGGGUAACCGGGUCCCUGGGUUCAAAUCCCAGUCUCUCCGCCA
Molecule: transfer RNA, 92 nt
Filed under: Candidatus Ghiorseimicrobium undicola
Lineage: Bacteria; Pseudomonadati; Candidatus Omnitrophota
Description: Candidatus Omnitrophica bacterium CG11_big_fil_rev_8_21_14_0_20_42_13 tRNA-Ser
Rfam family: tRNA
About the family: Transfer RNA (tRNA) molecules are approximately 80 nucleotides in length.
Source: RNAcentral